This 1564-nucleotide long non-coding RNA is filed under the name Nicotiana tabacum (common tobacco). RNAcentral describes it as "long non-coding RNA (NTAB_LNC016095)". Lineage: Eukaryota; Viridiplantae; Streptophyta; Magnoliopsida; Solanales; Solanaceae. The record is from RNAcentral.
CCACUAACAACUAGAAAUAUUACUUUAUCUCCAAAUUUUAUAGGAAUGAGCGUUACUCAACAUAAGUCUAUAAUAACAAAGACUACUCAAGACACUAAAAGAAUGACCAUGGAGCGACUAUAAGAGUUCAAAGAAAAGACCAUAAUAAUUGACAAAGUUUUCGCCUACGCAAACAAGUGCGAGGCUCACCAAUAAUUCUCAACAUGUGCUCUCUAAUUAACGAAAUCCUUAUCCGCGUCAACUGCUGUCUCUGAAAAAAUAAUUAGCGGGGAAUGAGUCGCUAGCUCAGUGAGUAAUAACACUUAACCACAACCGUUUUUAUUGGAGGCAAGUCAGAAAAUAUGCUAAUAUCUCAAACAGAUAACAUCAAAAUGCCCUUUCAGAAACAAUAAAUAAUUUUCAGUCUCAUCAUGUUUUUCUUGUAGGAUAAUACAAUUAACAGUUUAGUAAUAAGCUCGGAAACCCCUGUAUAAUAUCAAUAUUCACAUUUGGGAGAUUUCAAUGAACGAAUCAUGUAAUCGGUAUAACUGUGGACUUCUUCGCAAGAAGUCAAAUAUAACUGUAGUCCCUACUCGAGGGAAGUCGGUAACGGUAUGCUAGUUCUACCUUCCCACUAGCGAGGGCUAUAACGCUAAUAUGUAAUUACAAGGUGCACCAGGUUUAACGAACCCACCGUUAGCUACGAGAUCCUUCAAUGUCUACUCCCAUUUAUACUUGUCUCUGUAAUCCGUAUAUACUCGUAGAAAAUCUUUUAAAUCUAUAUAGGGCAUUUCAGUUCUUAUCAGAUCAUAUAAUUUCAUUUCGAUAACAGUAAAUUCAAGUAACAGUAAAACAGAUCUAGUGACAACAAAAAUAUUUAAAACCACGGUAACCAUCUCAAAUAACUAUUUCGGUAUCAUAUCGAGUAAAAGACUUGUCCCACAUGCAACUCAAAAUAAUCGGUAAUAUAUUCAUCUUAAAAAUCAUGUAUAAAUCAUGCAAGUUAUGAAAACACAAAUUGCGGUAAGAUUACUACUCACAGUACUCGUGCCGAAAUACCAACUGUUUCACCUCAAGCAACUCGUACAAAUUCCUCCAAUCAAUCUAUAAUUACAUAAUAUCGAUCUCAUGUUAAUUUUCUUAUUUAGGCUAAUUCAUAGUUAUUUUAGAAUACCCAAUCAUCGGGGUUCAUGUUUGAGUCUUAAUUUGUGGAUUUAUAUUGACCCACAUAUGAGUAAUUACUAAUUUAUCAACUCCAACCUAUUCAUAAAAUUUAUUACUCCAAAUUUCAUAAAGUUCUAUUGAUUCUUUAGGAAGAAAAUUCUCAAUUGUGUGAAUGAACUAGUGUAAUUUCUAUUACUCUGUAGAAUCUUCCAAUCAAGAGAAUCGAAAUUAAAAUCUACCAGAAUAAGAAGUUCAAGUAAUACCCGUAAAAGACAAUUAGUGCUUAAGAUUCCUCAACAGUUAUAAUUAUGGCUCCAACGCAGUGCACCCACUUCUUCCUCCUUCUUUUCUCUUUUCCUUCUUUCUUUCUCUGCUUUUGUUUUCCUUUUUUUUCUUUUUUUUUGUUUCUCGUUUCCCUUAG